Molecule: ribosomal RNA, 253 nt
Filed under: uncultured bacterium
Lineage: Bacteria
Description: partial 16S ribosomal RNA
Rfam family: Bacterial small subunit ribosomal RNA
Source: RNAcentral
UACGGAGGGUGCUAGCGUUGUUCGGAAUUACUGGGCGUAAAGCGCACGUAGGCGGCUUUGUAAGUUAGAGGUGAAAGCCCGGGGCUCAACCCCGGAAUUGCCUUUAAGACUGCAUCGCUUGAAUCCGGGAGAGGUGAGUGGAAUUCCGAGUGUAGAGGUGAAAUUCGUAGAUAUUCGGAAGAACACCAGUGGCGAAGGCGGCUCACUGGACCGGCAUUGACGCUGAGGUGCGAAAGCGUGGGGAGCAAACAGG